This 444-nucleotide ribosomal RNA is filed under the name uncultured bacterium. Its description in RNAcentral is "partial 16S ribosomal RNA". It matches the Rfam family "Bacterial small subunit ribosomal RNA", at positions 331 to 792 of the family's 1533-position model. The record is from RNAcentral.
CCAGACUCCUACGGGAGGCAGCAGUGGGGGAUAUUGCACAAUGGGCGCAAGCCUGAUGCAGCGACGCCGCGUGAGCGAAGAAGUAUUUCGGUAUGUAAAGCUCUAUCAGCAGGGAAGAAAAUGACGGUACCUGACUAAGAAGCUCCGGCUAAAUACGUGCCAGCAGCCGCGGUAAUACGUAUGGAGCAAGCGUUAUCCGGAAUUACUGGGUGUAAAGGGAGCGUAGACGGCCAGACAAGUCAGAAGUGAAAGCCCAGGGCUCAACCCUGGGACUGCUUUUGAAACUGCCGGGCUGGAGUGCAGGAGAGGUAAGCGGAAUUCCUAGUGUAGCGGUGAAAUGCGUAGAUAUUAGGAGGAACACCAGUGGCGAAGGCGGCUUGCUGGACUGUAACUGACGUUGAGGCUCGAAAGCGUGGGGAGCAAACAGGAUUAGAUACCCCCGUA